Sus scrofa (pig) is the source of this 486-nucleotide non-coding RNA. The record is from RefSeq and is a predicted model, not a curated record. NCBI's taxonomy places the organism in Eukaryota, Metazoa, Chordata, Mammalia, Artiodactyla, Suidae.
UUAAUUAAAUUCUGAUGAUUAUUUGCAGCCAAAAGAAGAAAUACAUAUAUACUAGAUGCAAAGAUAUAAAAAAGCAAAAGCAUAAAUAGUUUUGCAUUUUAUAUGGUGCCCUUCAAGCUGAAGGCUAAAAACAAUUUAUUUAAGCAAUUCUGUCAGUCUCAUGUGAUGGAUGGCUACACUGUUUUCCUUUUAUAGUUUCCCCAGCUAAACAAGAAGCAUAUUCACCCAGGAUUUGUUGGGUAGUUUCAUCAGUGAGAGCCUGAACACCUGAACGUCGUGGCUAUCCUCGCCUGGGGUUGUUCGACUUCUCCAGCACAAUCUCCCUCCAGAUCACCCCUAUUGUCACAAACAGUACAAUUUCCUCCAUUUUUGUGGCUGAAUACUAUUCCAUCUUGUGUAUACAGAUUCCCGUUCAUGCAGUGAUUGAUAGAAGAGGGUGGCCGUGUGUGUCUUGGACAGCAAAAAAACUGUAAAAAAUACAGAAGC